GAUGAACGCUGGCGGCGUGCCUAAUACAUGCAAGUCGAGCGAACAGAUAAGGGGCUUGCUCCUUUGACGUUAGCGGCGGACGGGUGAGUAACACGUGGGUAACCUACCUAUAAGACUGGGAUAACUUCGGGAAACCGGAGCUAAUACCGGAUAAUAUUUCGAACCGCAUGGUUCGAUAGUGAAAGAUGGUUUUGCUAUCACUUAUAGAUGGACCCGCGCUGUAUGAGCUAGUUGGUAAGGUAACGGCUUACCAAGGCGACGAUUCGUAGCCGACCUGAGAGGGGGAUCGGCCACACUGGAGCUGAGACACGGUCCAGACUCCUACGGGAGGCAGCAGUAGGGAAUCUUCCGCAAUGGGCGAAAGCCUGACGGAGCAACGCCGCGUGAGUGAUGAAGGUCUUCGGAUCGUAAAACUCUGUUAUUAGGGAAGAACAUACGUGUAAGUAACUGUGCACGUCUUGACGGUACCUAAUCAGAAAGCCACGGCUAACUACGUG
This 497-nucleotide ribosomal RNA is filed under the name uncultured bacterium. RNAcentral's name for it is "partial 16S ribosomal RNA". It matches the Rfam family "Bacterial small subunit ribosomal RNA", at positions 28 to 507 of the family's 1533-position model. The record is from RNAcentral.